AAAAAAAGCAAACAGGAAUUUCGUAUUAACUUUGAUUGUCCAUCUUAUAUAAAAUUCUUUUAUAAUUUAUAUUUCUAUUAUUGUUAGAUGAUAAAACAUGAUUAAUAUUUUAUACGUGACUUGUCUUUUUAAUUUUUUUAAAUAAGAUGGACGGUUAAGAUACGAAACCAGGCU
This 174-nucleotide microRNA precursor is filed under the name Oryza nivara. RNAcentral's name for it is "MIR812 microRNA precursor family". It matches the Rfam family "MIR812 microRNA precursor family". Lineage: Eukaryota; Viridiplantae; Streptophyta; Magnoliopsida; Poales; Poaceae. The record is from Rfam by way of RNAcentral.